RNAcentral lists this ribosomal RNA (201 nucleotides) under uncultured bacterium. RNAcentral's name for it is "partial 16S ribosomal RNA". It matches the Rfam family "Bacterial small subunit ribosomal RNA", at positions 328 to 539 of the family's 1533-position model. The record is from RNAcentral.
ACGCUCGACACCUACGGGAGACAGCAGUGGGGAAUAUUGGGCAAUGGAGGCAACUCUGACCCAGCAACGCCGCGUGAAUGAUGAAGGUCUUCGGAUUGUAAAGUUCUGUGACGGGGGACGAACACAAUGACGGUACCCCGAUAGCAAGCCACGGCUAACUACGUGCCAGCAGCCGCGGUAAUCUGAGCGGGCUGGCAAGGC